Molecule: ribosomal RNA, 495 nt
Filed under: uncultured bacterium
Lineage: Bacteria
Description: partial 16S ribosomal RNA
Rfam family: Bacterial small subunit ribosomal RNA
Source: RNAcentral
GACGAACGCUGGCGGCGUGCCUAAUACAUGCAAGUAGAACGCUGAAGGAGGAGCUUGCUUCUCUGGAUGAGUUGCGAACGGGUGAGUAACGCGUAGGUAACCUGCCUGGUAGCGGGGGAUAACUAUUGGAAACGAUAGCUAAUACCGCAUAAGAGUAGAUGUCGCAUGACAUUUGCUUAAAAGGUGCAAUUGCAUCACUACCAGAUGGACCUGCGUUGUAUUAGCUAGUUGGUGAGGUAACGGCUCACCAAGGCAACGAUACAUAGCCGACCUGAGAGGGGGAUCGGCCACACUGGGACUGAGACACGGCCCAGAAUCCUACGGGAGGCAGCAGUAGGGAAUCUUCGGAAAUGGAAGGAAGUCUGACCGAGCAACGCCGCGUGAGUGAAGAAGGUUUUCGGAUCGUAAAGCUCUGUUGUAAGAGAAGAACGAGUGUGAGAGUGGAAAGUUCACACUGUGACGGUAUCUUACCAGAAAGGGACGGCUAACUACGUG